GGUAUGUACAAUGCAUUUUAGUCGACUUAACCUCAAUAUUUCUUGAGAGAAAAUUCUUUUGACACUUGGUAUGUUCCCACAUAUGCGAAAAUAUAGCCUCGCUUUGUUGGAGGUUGUUGUAGGUCUACAACGUUAGGCCUGUGCUAGCACGUGACUUUAAAAAACGUACUUGUUUCAUAAUAGCGUUAGUCGGAGCAUUAGUUUCUGCCAGCCUUGAAAUUAUUUCAUAUAAAUUUUGUAUUUCUUUCAGUAUUAAUUUUUGCUUUAUAACAUUUCUUAAUAAACUGUACAGACUGACCAUAAA
Molecule: long non-coding RNA, 304 nt
Organism: Bactrocera dorsalis (oriental fruit fly)
Lineage: Eukaryota; Metazoa; Arthropoda; Insecta; Diptera; Tephritidae
Exons: 2
Source: RefSeq, a predicted model, not a curated record